AGUGAACGCUGGCGGUAGGCCUAACACAUGCAAGUCGAACGGCAGCACAGUAAGAGCUUGCUCUUACGGGUGGCGAGUGGCGGACGGGUGAGGAAUACAUCGGCAUCUACUUUUUCGUGGGGGAUAACGUAGGGAAACUUACGCUACUACCUCAUACGACCUACGGGUGAAAGCAGGGGAUCUUCGGACCUUGCGCGAUUGAAUGAGCCGAUGUCGGAUUAGCUAGUUGGCGGGGUAAAGGCCCACCAAGGCGACGAUCCGUAGCUGGUCUGAGAGGAGGAUCAGCCACACUGGAACUGAGACACGGUCCAGACUCCUACGGGAGGCAGCAGUGGGGAAUAUUGGACAAUGGGCGAAAGCCUGAUCCAGCCAUACCGCGUGGGUGAAGAAGGCCUUCGGGUUGUAAAGCCCUUUUGUUGGGAAAGAAAAGCAGCAGGUUAAUACCCCGCUGUUCUGACGGUACCCAAAGAAUAAGCACCGGCUAACUUCGUG
This 492-nucleotide ribosomal RNA is filed under the name uncultured bacterium. Its description in RNAcentral is "partial 16S ribosomal RNA". It matches the Rfam family "Bacterial small subunit ribosomal RNA", at positions 29 to 507 of the family's 1533-position model. The record is from RNAcentral.